GGGCAGGGCGACACGUCGUACGACGGAGCAGAACACGUCGCCUUCGUUCCACUGGUUGCCGGCCAGUUCGCCCGCCAUCGAGGCGUAUCCGCGCAGGAUCACGGCCAGGCCGUUGACCCGUUCACAGGAUCGGGUGUUCAUCUU
RNAcentral lists this unclassified non-coding RNA (144 nucleotides) under plant metagenome. RNAcentral's name for it is "partial contains 5.8S ribosomal RNA, internal transcribed spacer 2, and large subunit ribosomal RNA". The record is from RNAcentral.